This 443-nucleotide ribosomal RNA is filed under the name uncultured bacterium. RNAcentral's name for it is "bacterial SSU rRNA". It matches the Rfam family "Bacterial small subunit ribosomal RNA", at positions 25 to 507 of the family's 1533-position model. The record is from RNAcentral.
CAGAACGAACGCUGGCGACAGGCCUCAAACAUGCAAGGUCUAGGGGGUGUAGCAAUACAUCACCGGCGGACGGGUGCGUAACGCGUGGGAAUAUACCUAUCGAUUCGGAACAACUGAGGGAAACUUCAGCUAAUACCGAAUACGUCCUAACGGAGAAAGAUUUAUCGUCGAUAGAUUAGCCCGCGUUCGAUUAGCUAGUUGGUGGGGGUAAACGGGCCCACCCAAGGCGACGAUCGAUAGCUGUUCUGAGAGGAAGAUCAGCCACACUGGGACUGAGACACGGCCCAGACUCCUACGGGAGGCAGCAGUUGGGAAUCUUGGACAAUGGGGGAAACCCUGAUCCAGCCAUGCCGCGUGAGUGAUGAAGGCCUUCGGGUUGUAAAACUCUUUCGCGCACGACGAUAAUGACGGUAGUGCGAGAAGAAGCUCCGGCUAACUUCGUG